UAUGGCAUUUAUUUAUCACGGUUACUUUGGGAUGUAAUUAUCCUCGUACUGCUUACAGAGAAGUGUGAAGCUGCUUCAAAUCACACAGCUAGAAGACUGUGUGAUUGAACCUGUGGAUCCCUGUCGCGUAUUUCUGCCUGAUUCAUUUUCCAGCGACCCUGGUUAAAAUCUACAAAAAGCCACCCUAGGGCCACAGGAUGGAGAGAGAAGAAUCAAUUUUUGUCUCUUCUAUCCAGUGAGAGGAGAGUUUGACUCACCGCAUUACAUGAACCAUCAAGAACUGUGUCCAUGGAAGUGUGGUCCCAAAUGUUUGAGGAGAAAGCUCUCCUGUGUACCUUAUUGCAAGGAACAAUGAACAGUGAACAUGAUUAGAGGAAUUUCUCUGAAUUCCCUCCACAUGCCCAGUGGUGCUCACUAUGGAUGGAAGAUGAAUGUACUGUCACAGGUAUCAGUGACAUUCCAGGAUGUGGCUGUGGACUUCACUGGGGAGGAGUGGCAGUUGCUGGGAUGUGCUCAAAGAAAGCUGUAUUGGGAUGUGAUGCUGGAGAACUUUAGAAACAUCCUCUCGAAGUUAUCUGCUUACUUGGUGAUGAGCUAGAAAGACAGGAAGGAGAAAGAAGGAAGCAAAGACAAUUUUUUGAACCAAGGAAUGUUCACCUUCAAGAAAGCACUGACCAACAAAAUAGUCCAAAAUUGUAAUCUGAGUAUAAACCUUAUUUCUUCAAGACAAAAACGGCAUAAAUGUGAAUCAAAUGGAAAGAGUUUGCAGCCUAAUUUACACUUACUUAAUUAUAGUAAAAGUUAUUUGAGAGAAAACUCUUAUGAAUACAAGGAAUAUGGAAAAGCCUUCAAAAACAAGUUAUGUCUCAUUAGACAUGAAAAAAAGCAUACAAGGAAAAAAACCUUUGGGUGCGAUGAAUGUGGGAAAGCCUUCCAAAAGAAGUCUCGUCUCAUUAGACAUGAAAAAAAGCAUACAAGGGGGAAAAAAAGCCUUUGAAUGCAGUGACUGUGGGAAAGCCUUUACCAGUAAGGGACACCUUGUAGCUCAUCAAAAAAUCCAUAGCGGAGAGAGACCCUUUGUGUGCAGUGAUUGUGGGAAAGCGUUUAUGCAUAAAGCAUAACUCGUGGUCCACCAGAGACUCCACACUGGGGAGAAGCCUUAUGAAUGUAGUCAGUGUGGGAAAUCAUUCACCUGGCAUUCCUCCUUCACUCAGCACGUAAAGUCCCACACACCCGAGAACUCAUUUGAGUGUAAAGAAUGUGGGAAAACCUUCAAGUACAGUUUAUCCCUUUAUAAACACUCUGGAAAUCACACCGGCGAGAAACCGUACCACUGUAGAGAAUGUGGCAAAGCCUUUGGGGACUCCUUAGUGCUGGUCAUGCAUCAGAGGAUUCACACAGGUGAGAAACCUCAUAGGCGCACUGAGUGUGGCAAAGCCUUCAUCAAGAAAUCACAUCUCCUUAAACAUUACUUAACUCACACAGCAGAGCAGCAAAAUAAAUGCAACACAUGUGGGAAAUCUUUUAAGCGGAAGACACAUUUCAUUCUCCAUCAAAGAAAUCAUAAAAACAAUGGAGCUUUGUAAAUGUGGGAAAACUUAAAAUUAGCCUUUUAAUAAAGCAGCAAAGAAUUCAUCAUGGGAGAAACCCUAUCAGCUGAAUAAAUGUGGAAAAGCCUGUUCUGAAAUUCAUUUUUUGUAAGUGAUACUACUUACUGAAAAGAUUACAGAAAAUUUUAAGCUGUAAAUAGACAACUUUACUGAACAGAAAAGCUGAGGAAAUUUUGAAAAACUGAAUAAGGCAUCAGACUGACUAACUGCAUAUAUACACUGUCCCUAUUUUAUGGUUUUUAAACAAAUUGUACAAAUGUCUGCAUUGCUUAAGAAAUUGUAUAGCCAUAGGUAUGAAAUAUAUGCUAUGCACAUAAUACAGAGUUAUGUCUGUUAUGAUGAUUGCAGAGCAUUGUAAAUGUACUUAAUGCCAAUGAAUUACACACUUAAAAUGGCUUAAAGAGUAAAUUUUAUGUUCUAUCAAAAUCUCUGGUAAACACCAUCAUUGUUCAAAAUCUGAAAUCACCAUAUCCAGAAUUGCCAAUGAUAAAUGAAAUAACAUGGUUUAGCAUGUAGAGUGAAGGUCACUGCUAUGAACCUGAUGUAUAACUAUUCUGUGGCACCUGUGAAUAGUUGUGGCAGUUGUUACUGAGCCUUCUUGAGCUUCCUCUUCAAUAAUAGGGACCGUUAUGAAGUCCUCUACUGCUCUGCUUAAGUGAGGACAGACAGUUUUCUUCUCUAUACAAAACACCAAAGUGUAUGUAUAUUUAAUCCUGAUUAACCAGACAAUGAAGAAGGAAAGGAGCUGUGUUCUGUGUUACUCUAAGCACUUACUAUAGGGAAAGAGAAGUAUCUCCAGGUAAAUAGUUGUAAAUAAAAGCUAACCUAA
This is an RNA transcript of Sus scrofa (pig), 2439 nucleotides long. It is a transcript of the gene named zinc finger protein 684, with no coding region annotated. Lineage: Eukaryota; Metazoa; Chordata; Mammalia; Artiodactyla; Suidae. The record is from RefSeq and is a predicted model, not a curated record.